Molecule: ribosomal RNA, 373 nt
Filed under: uncultured bacterium
Lineage: Bacteria
Description: bacterial SSU rRNA
Rfam family: Bacterial small subunit ribosomal RNA
Source: RNAcentral
UAAUACGUAGGUGGCAAGCGUUGUCCGGAUUUAUUGGGUUUAAAGGGUGCGUAGGCGGCCUAUUAAGUCAGUGCUGAAAUAUCCCGGCUUAACCGGGAGGGUGGCAUUGAUACUGAUGGGCUUGAGUAGAGUCGAGGUAGGCGGAAUUGACGGUGUAGCGGUGAAAUGCUUAGAUAUCGUCAAGAACACCGAUAGUGUAGACAGCUUACUAGGCUCAAACUGACGCUGAGGCACGAAAGUGUGGGGAUCAAACAGGAUUAGAUACCCUGGUAGUCCACACUGUAAACGUUGAUGACUCGCUGUUGGCGAUAUACAGUCAGCGGCUGAGAGAAAUCGUUAAGUCAUCCACCUGGGGAGUACGCCGGCAACGGUG